RNAcentral lists this ribosomal RNA (400 nucleotides) under uncultured bacterium. RNAcentral describes it as "bacterial SSU rRNA". It matches the Rfam family "Bacterial small subunit ribosomal RNA", at positions 86 to 515 of the family's 1533-position model. The record is from RNAcentral.
CGGGGCUUAGUGGCGGACGGGUGAGUAACACGUGGGAACGUGCCUAUUAGGUUCGGAAUAGCUCCUGGAAACGGGUGGUAAUGCCGAAUGUGCCCUUCGGGGGAAAGAUUUAUCUGCCUUUAGAGCGGCCCGCGUCUGAUUAGCUAGUUGGUGGGGUAAUGGCCCACCAAGGCUACGAAUCAGUAGCUGGUCUGAGAGGAUGACCAGCCACAUUGGGACUGAGACACGGCCCAAACUCCUACGGGAGGCAGCAGUGGGGAAUGUUGCGCAAUGGGCGAAAGCCUGACGCAGCCAUGCCGCGUGUAUGAUGAAGGUCUUAGGAUUGAUAUAGAAUACUUUCACCGGUGAAGAUAAUGACUGUAGCCGGAGAAGAAGCCCCGGCUAACUUCGUGCCAGCAGC